AAAAGGGACGGCCCGCCGCAGGAACCCUAAACUCUGUUUUUAGUGGAACUUCUGAGUAUAAAAAACAAAUAAAUCAAAACUUUCAACAACGGAUCUCUUGGUUCUGGCAUCGAUGAAGAACGCAGCAAAAUGCGAUAAGUAAUGUGAAUUGCAGAAUUCAGUGAAUCAUCGAAUCUUUGAACGCACAUUGCGCCCGCCAGUAUUCUGGCGGGCAUGCCUGUUCGAGCGUCAUUUCAACCCUCAAGCCCAGCUUGGUGUUGGGAGCUGCAGUCCUGCUGCACUCCCCAAAUACAUUGGCGGUCACGUCGAGCUUCCAUAGCGUAGUAAUUUACACAUCGUUACUGGUAAUCGUCGCGGCCACGCCGUUAAACCCCAACUUCUGAAUGUUGACCUCGGAUCAGGUAGGAAUACCCGCUGAACUUAAGCAUAUCAAUAAGCGGAGGAAG
This 446-nucleotide ribosomal RNA is filed under the name Fusarium graminearum. Its description in RNAcentral is "eukaryotic LSU rRNA". The stretch from base 78 to 231 matches the Rfam family "5.8S ribosomal RNA". The record is from RNAcentral. Lineage: Eukaryota; Fungi; Ascomycota; Sordariomycetes; Hypocreales; Nectriaceae.